RNAcentral lists this ribosomal RNA (484 nucleotides) under uncultured bacterium. Its description in RNAcentral is "partial 16S ribosomal RNA". It matches the Rfam family "Bacterial small subunit ribosomal RNA", at positions 30 to 507 of the family's 1533-position model. The record is from RNAcentral.
AUUGAACGCUGGCGGCAGGCCUAACACAUGCAAGUCGAGCGGAUGAAGGGAGCUUGCUCCUGGAUUCAGCGGCGGACGGGUGAGUAAUGCCUAGGAAUCUGCCUGGUAGUGGGGGAUAACGUCCGGAAACGGGCGCUAAUACCGCAUACGUCCUGAGGGAGAAAGUGGGGGAUCUUCGGACCUCACGCUAUCAGAUGAGCCUAGGUCGGAUUAGCUAGUUGGUGGGGUAAAGGCCUACCAAGGCGACGAUCCGUAACUGGCCUGAGAGGAUGAUCAGUCACACUGGAACUGAGACACGGUCCAGACUCCUACGGGAGGCCGCAGUGGGGAAUAUUGGACAAUGGGCGAAAGCCUGAUCCAGCCAUGCCGCGUGUGUGUAGAAGGUCUUCGGAUUGUAAAGCACUUUAAGUUGGGAGGAAGGGCAGUAAGUUAAUACCUUGCUGUUUUGACGUUACCAACAGAAUAAGCACCGGCUAACUUCGUG